UACGUAGGGGGCAAGCGUUGUCCGGAUUUAUUGGGCGUAAAGCGCGUGUAGGCGGCCAGAUAGGUCUGCUGUGAAAACUCGAGGCUCAACCUCGAGCUGUCGGCGGAAACCAUCUGGCUAGAGUCCGGAAGAGGAGAGUGGAAUUCCUGGUGUAGCGGUGAAAUGCGCAGAUAUCAGGAAGAACACCAACGGCGAAGGCAGCUCGCUGGGACGGUACUGACGCUGAGACGCGAAAGCGUGGGGAGCGAACAGG
RNAcentral lists this ribosomal RNA (253 nucleotides) under uncultured bacterium. Its description in RNAcentral is "partial 16S ribosomal RNA". It matches the Rfam family "Bacterial small subunit ribosomal RNA", at positions 524 to 776 of the family's 1533-position model. The record is from RNAcentral.